This 169-nucleotide ribosomal RNA is filed under the name Cerrena caperata. Its description in RNAcentral is "Coriolopsis caperata 5.8S ribosomal RNA". The stretch from base 70 to 169 matches the Rfam family "5.8S ribosomal RNA", at positions 1 to 100 of the family's 154-position model. Rfam says of the family: 5.8S ribosomal RNA (5.8S rRNA) is a component of the large subunit of the eukaryotic ribosome. It is transcribed by RNA polymerase I as part of the 45S precursor that also contains 18S and 28S rRNA. Functionally, it is thought that 5.8S rRNA may be involved in ribosome translocation. Lineage: Eukaryota; Fungi; Basidiomycota; Agaricomycetes; Polyporales; Cerrenaceae. The record is from RNAcentral.
CUGUGCCUGCGUUUACUACAAACUAUUAAAGUAUCAGAAUGUGUAUUGCGAUGUAACGCAUCUAUAUACAACUUUCAGCAACGGAUCUCUUGGCUCUCGCAUCGAUGAAGAACGCAGCGAAAUGCGAUAAGUAAUGUGAAUUGCAGAAUUCAGUGAAUCAUCGAAUCUU